RNAcentral lists this transfer RNA (86 nucleotides) under Bulbochaete rectangularis var. hiloensis. RNAcentral describes it as "tRNA-Ser". It matches the Rfam family "tRNA". Rfam says of the family: Transfer RNA (tRNA) molecules are approximately 80 nucleotides in length. Their secondary structure includes four short double-helical elements and three loops (D, anti-codon, and T loops). Further hydrogen bonds mediate the characteristic L-shaped molecular structure. tRNAs have two regions of fundamental functional importance: the anti-codon, which is responsible for specific mRNA codon recognition, and the 3' end, to which the tRNAs corresponding amino acid is attached (by aminoacyl-tRNA synthetases). tRNAs cope with the degeneracy of the genetic code in two manners: having more than one tRNA (with a specific anti-codon) for a particular amino acid; and 'wobble' base-pairing, i.e. permitting non-standard base-pairing at the 3rd anti-codon position. The record is from RNAcentral. Lineage: Eukaryota; Viridiplantae; Chlorophyta; Chlorophyceae; Oedogoniales; Oedogoniaceae.
GGAUGGGUGACUGAGUGGUCUAAAGUGUCAAUUUUGAAAAUUGUUGUAUUCUAAAAAUACCGGGGGUUCGAAUCCCUCCCCAUCCG